AGCGAACGCUGGCGGCAUGCCUAACACAUGCAAGUCGAACGAGUGCCUUCGGGUGCUAGUGGCGCACGGGUGCGUAACGCGUGGGAAUCUGCCCUUUGGUUCGGAAUAACAGUUGGAAACGACUGCUAAUACCGGAUGAUGACGAAAGUCCAAAGAUUUAUCGCCAGAGGAUGAGCCCGCGUAGGAUUAGCUAGUUGGUG
RNAcentral lists this ribosomal RNA (200 nucleotides) under uncultured bacterium. RNAcentral's name for it is "partial 16S ribosomal RNA". It matches the Rfam family "Bacterial small subunit ribosomal RNA", at positions 29 to 254 of the family's 1533-position model. The record is from RNAcentral.